GCCGGGAGCAUCGGCCCAAACCUCUUCCGGCAAACAGUCAGCAAGGGUACCCGCGGACAUCUCCCGGUGACUGCAAGCUGUUCCCACUACCGUUUCUUGCAAGGCGUCUUCUCAUGAGGUUACACACCCAAGUCGUCUUGUCUGCCACCGCCGCCCAUCUCUUACUAUAACAAGGACGACGCGGCCAUCAUACGUCUGGCGGCAGUGUACCGGCUCCCGCAGCCGCGGCCGCUCAUUUUGCUGGGUCAGCAGUUUUUCAACCUCCAUUGCGAGUCCUCCGAUGUCAGCCCAUCCCUCACCUCUCACCGCCGCUGUGGCCGCGGCCGAGGUUUCCUGACGCGCCUACAACGACUGCACGUCACCCAGGGCAUCACAGGCCGUCGCCCUCUCCACUACAUCUGCUGAUUAAUCUUGAGAAGAACCGCCGUUCUGCCCUCCCUUUGGCCUUCAAACCGAGCGGGAAGUUGGUUGACUUCGUCUCAGAGUUAGAGGUCAAGGUUCAGGAACACCCUCACCAUCAACCCCUCGCCCCAGCUGCAGCAUUGCAGGCACAAAGUCCUCCAACGGUUAUGUCGCCAUUGUGAUGGCUGUUUGUUAUUUUUCCAAGUGAAUUGAGACUCGCCCUUUAAAAUCGAAGGAAGCUGUAGAAGUGGCUCGGUUCCUGUACGAGGACAUUAUCUGUCGUCAUGGAUGUGUUGCUAUACAGAUCAAUGACCAGGGCAGAGAGUUUGUGAACUCAGUCUCAGCAGAGCUCCACACGCUCACAGGAACAACGCAAAGAAUCACAGCUGCUUAUCAUCUUCAAGCCAAUGGAUUAGUCGAGCGCAGCAACCGAACAGUUCAAAAUCUUCUGCUUCGAACUCUGAGUGAUCGACAUGAAAACUGGGACAAAUGUUUGCACGGCGUCUUAUUUGCACUGAGAUCUACAGUCCAGGCCUCCACGAGGUUUUCACCAUUCAAGAUGUUAUAUGGCCGAGAACCUGUCCUUCCCAUCGAUGUGGACCACGAGUUCGCUGGCUGCACCUCCGAUCCUGACGAUCCUGAAUUUGAGGAGUCUGACUUCCAUGCAACACUCUCAAAGCUCGAAAUAUUACAUGAUGUUGUUUUCAAGAAAGCUGAUGCCAACAUUGAGCGAGCUCAGGCAAGCAAGCUGAUUUAGCAACGAGGCGAUACAAACAAAAGAAUUUCAUCGUGGGUGACAAGGUGUUGCGUUACAACCUCUGCAGAGCCGACAGAAAAGGAGGCAAGCAAACCGAUCCAUGGGAUGGUCCCUACGAGGUGGCUCAAGUUUGCGAGAAGGGGCUAUACUGUCUCAUUAAUUCAUCCACGAAAGUCACCCUCAAGGCGAAAGUGAACGGAUGCAACAUGAAGCCCUUCUUCGAACGCACUCCAGAAGCUUUACCACCGACUCCCUCAGUUACGUCAUCUCCGCCAUCUCCAAGUGUCCAAAUAGUCGGGGUUCAGCAAGAAGAGAUUAUUUACAAGUUCUCUCCAUUGACGGUUGCAACGCACCGAUCAAUCUGCAACAAAUCUGGUGGACGUCUGGUAUUCAAGAAAUAUCAGGUCCAUCCGGAAAAAAAAAGACCUUCAAAAACAAGAUCGAACCUCUUCCGUUAAAGCAACUGAAGGUAACGGAAAUUGUAUUUUCCGUGCAUUGUCAUAUGCCAUCACUGGAGAAGAGGACCAACACGACGUUGUCAGAAGCUUGAUGUGACUUCAUUGCCAGCAUUGAAAACAUCAAAGUUGAAUCAAUGCGUCAGAAUAAAGUGUGCGGAACAACAACAGAUAUGUUAGCAGCAGCCAACAUGUUCCAUGUGAAUGUAUGUGUGUGGGCAAAGUUUGGUUCUAUGCACACAUGGCAUAAACAUAGGCCGAAAUGCAGAGAAGUAGUAAACAAGUCAGUGUACCUCGACAAUAAAGCAGGCAACCAUUUUAAUGUAGUUAUUCGUGUGUACUGUGCACAUGAUUAGUGAUUAGCUUUUGGAUGGGAGACAACAUUAAUGUACUGUAGUGUGAUUACUGAUUAGUUUUUGUAUGGGAGUCAACAUCAAUAAUUUUUUUUCAUCCAAUAAUGUGAGUCAUUUCAACCUGAUGGGGAGUCAUAUGAAACCAAUUUCAGUUGACUGGGGAGUGCUAUCUAACUAGUUUCAAUUAACUGGGAGUGCUUUAAAACUAGUUUCAAGAGACUUCGGGAGUCAUGUCUAGCGGGAGUAUCCUGAAACGUCUACACCGGAACAGUGACCUGGCGACCUCAUAGUC
Long non-coding RNA from Eriocheir sinensis (Chinese mitten crab), 2259 nucleotides. RefSeq lists it as uncharacterized. The record is from RefSeq and is a predicted model, not a curated record. Lineage: Eukaryota; Metazoa; Arthropoda; Malacostraca; Decapoda; Varunidae. The transcript has 6 exons.